Molecule: ribosomal RNA, 253 nt
Filed under: uncultured bacterium
Lineage: Bacteria
Description: partial 16S ribosomal RNA
Rfam family: Bacterial small subunit ribosomal RNA
Source: RNAcentral
UACGGAGGGUGCAAGCGUUAUCCGGAAUCACUGGGUUUAAAGGGUGCGUAGGUGGGCAGGUAAGUCAGUGGUGAAAUCUCCGGGCUUAACCCGGAAACUGCCAUUGAUACUAUUUGUCUUGAAUACUGUGGAGGUCAGCGGAAUAUGUCAUGUAGCGGUGAAAUGCUUAGAUAUGACAUAGAACACCAAUUGCGAAGGCAGCUGGCUACACAAAUAUUGACACUGAGGCACGAAAGCGUGGGGAGCAAACAGG